UACGGGGGGGGCAAGCGUUGUUCGGAAUUACUGGGCGUAAAGGGCUCGUAGGCGGCCAACUAAGUCCGACGUGAAAUCCCCAGGCUUAACCUGGGAACUGCGUCGGAUACUGGAUGGCUUGAAUCCGGGAGAGGGAUGCGGAAUUCCAGGUGUAGCGGUGAAAUGCGUAGAUAUCUGGAGGAACACCGGUGGCGAAGGCGGGUCUCUGGGCAGUAACUGACGCUGAGGAGCGAAAGCGUGGGGAGCGAACAGG
This 253-nucleotide ribosomal RNA is filed under the name uncultured bacterium. RNAcentral's name for it is "partial 16S ribosomal RNA". It matches the Rfam family "Bacterial small subunit ribosomal RNA", at positions 524 to 776 of the family's 1533-position model. The record is from RNAcentral.